RNAcentral lists this transfer RNA (72 nucleotides) under Camelus bactrianus (Bactrian camel). It matches the Rfam family "tRNA". Rfam says of the family: Transfer RNA (tRNA) molecules are approximately 80 nucleotides in length. RNAcentral also lists the same sequence under 2 other names. Lineage: Eukaryota; Metazoa; Chordata; Mammalia; Artiodactyla; Camelidae. The record is from Rfam by way of RNAcentral.
GAGGGUAUAGCUCAAUGGUAAAGCGUAUGCCCAGCAUGAACGAGGUCCUGGGUUCAAUCCCUAGUACCGCCA